Phalacrocorax carbo (great cormorant) is the source of this 1088-nucleotide non-coding RNA. The record is from RefSeq and is a predicted model, not a curated record. Lineage: Eukaryota; Metazoa; Chordata; Aves; Suliformes; Phalacrocoracidae.
CCCUGAUAGGCCGCCCUGUGUGACAUGCUCGCGGGCUGGGCCCGGCCGCAGCAUGCGGUGUUGGUGGCGGCUGCCCCGCGGACUUGCUGAAAUGGAAAAGAAGAGGGGAAAAAAAUAAUGAGAAAAGUCGGGGUCGGGGGAGCUCGGCCGCGCCCGCCACAGGCGGCAGGGCCGGAGCUAGGCCCGGGACCGCCAGCUGCCUACGAAAUAAGCCCGCUGCCGCCAUAACCGCGCCCGGGGCUCUAAGUCAGAAGAAUCUUGGACUAUGAGUACAACUGAAUGAAAAGCCUCCUGCGCUUAUAGUGGAAAGUAUAGCAAAAAAUGAAUUAGAAUGAAAAAGACGAUACAAACGGGAUGCCAGAGAUGCUGAAAAAAUGUGUCUGGCACAUGCAUCCGUGACCCCUUACAGCGCACAGGCAAGAGGGGAAAACAGCAGUACUGCAAAAACCAUGCAUAGAAGUUUAAAAGAAUUACUGAACUCUACACAAUAGGCUAACCUGCUGAAAAAAGAAACAGUGGAAAGCUCUGAGAAAUGCAGUCAAGAGUUCCUGCCAGCUUUCCAACUCUUGCCAGCAUAUUCAGCUGCCUUUCGUCAUUUGGAUAUACAGAAGCCAUCUACCAGAAUAGCCUGGGUCGUGGCAUACAGGCUGAACAGGAAGGAGCUCAGCACCUUUCCUGUCCACACCAUCCUAUUUGCACUGCUAACUUUGCAUCCUUAUCUCAGAUAGCUGCUGUACAUCUGUUGCCUAAAAUUGGUUGGUUUUAACAUGAGCAAGUAGUUUUAAGCUGUGCUGUGAUCACACAUACGUCCAUCUUCAGGCCAAAAGUGCUGAAGCCUGUAAUCAGUCCUCCUGCAGAACAGCACUUGCACACACAAGUGGUCCCAUUGAUUUUAAUUGAACUAUUUGAGUAAGAGCUAUUCAGCGUACGGGAGGGCUGCAGAAUAUUGUCCUCUGGUUAUGCCUUGGCAAAAGAUGUCAGCUACAGUUUCCUUUUAAGAGGGUAAUAGUGAUUCAGAUUAAAAUAAGGAUUUUGCUGUAGUCUUUUUACAGGGUUGUAAUAAAACUACAUACACAUUGUCUGUAUCU